GGGGAGGGGGAGCUUUAGUCCCGGUGAAGCGAAUACACGUCACCACCGGAAACAGUGUCAGAGGGGAAGGGGGGGGAAGAGAGGAGGGAGCUCUGAGGGCGGUAAAAUGGCGCCUGUCAGAGUGGGAAAUCCAGCUGCAGAGGCUGCAGCCCCGCUCCCCAGCGGCUAAGGCACCUCCGGCUUCGGGGAGGGGGAGGCCGCUCCGGCCCAGCCGUCCGCGCCCUUCGGCCCCCCCUCCCCCUCCUUCCCCGCUCCCUGGCUCAGCCGGCCCGUUCGCCGCCGCCGCCGCCGCCGCCGCCGCCGCGGCCCUUCGCGCGCCGCGGCCCCCGCCCGCCCUUUCCCUCGGGCAGCCCCCUACCGCGCCUGCGCAGCGGGCCACCCUCCGCUUCCCCCUUCCCCUCCCCCCUCCCUUUUCCCUCCCUCCCUCCCUCCUCCCUGGCCCCCUCCCCCACCGCCCCCUCCCCCAAUUCUCCAUCCCCUUCCCUCCUGGUCUCGGAGGACCCCGUCCUAGCCCGACCCGUCUCGGCCCGCAACCUCCGCGAAGCCGUCGGUGCCACUCCCCGCCCAUGUGGGCCCCCGCGGGCUGCCCACGCCUGUCCCCCAGCUCCCGGUUCCGCUGGGCUUUCCCCUCGCCGGGGGUGGCUUUCUGAGCCGCCCGCUCCGCGUCCCUCUCUGCAGCCUUUCCUGCCACUCGGGGCCCCCGUUCCCCCUCCCGGCGGCGGGGGGCUGCCCCCGGGGGGCUGGCGGAGCUGGGCCGCGGGGGCCCCGGGGCCGGCGGUGCCGGGGUCAUCGGGAUGAUGCGGACGCAGUGUCUGCUGGGGCUGCGCACGUUCGUGGCCUUCGCCGCCAAGCUCUGGAGCUUCUUCAUUUACCUUUUGCGGAGGCAGAUCCGCACGGUAACCAAGGACCUCCUCUCCUGACUCCUCCUCUCAGCCCACGAAGGAAUCUGAGGCUCUCAGUUCCCAAAGGGAGGUGAUGGGGACUUGUCACAAAGGGUCCUUGGGGUGGACGUGCGGAAGGCCAUGCAUUUCUUGGUCGUGGCACACGAGACAGGAUCAUGGUCAAGAGGGCAGGUGCUUGGGUCGGACGGCACAGGAACCAACCUGGCGCCACCACCACAUCGACCCGGAUACUGACUGAGCGGCCUGUGACAGUUCUUGGGAUAAUUCAGUACCAGACUGUUCGAUAUGAUAUUCUUCCCUUAUCUCCUGUGUCCCGGAAUCGGCUAGGUCAGGUGAAGAGGAAGAUCCUGGUGCUGGAUCUGGAUGAGACACUUAUCCACUCCCAUCACGAUGGGGUCCUGAGGCCCACUGUCCGGCCUGGAACGCCUCCUGACUUCAUCCUCAAGGUGGUAAUAGACAAACAUCCCGUCCGGUUUUUUGUACAUAAGAGGCCCCAUGUGGAUUUCUUCUUAGAAGUGGUGAGUCAGUGGUACGACCUGGUGGUGUUCACAGCAAGCAUGGAGAUUUACGGUUCCGCUGUGGCAGAUAAACUGGAUAAUAGCAGGAGUAUUCUCAAGAGGAGAUACUACAGACAGCACUGCACUUUGGAACUGGGCAGCUACAUCAAGGACCUCUCUGUGGUCCACAGCGACCUCUCCAGCAUCGUGAUCCUGGAUAACUCCCCAGGGGCUUACAGGAGCCACCCAGAUCACAUUUCUCCGACUAAAUUUGCUUCAGGUGAAGCACAGUGGUAAUGACUUUGCCUAGGAGCUUCACGCUAACAUGAAGUACGGUGACUAAAAGUUGAUUUUAUUUUGGAGGAUGAAUCCAGAAGGUUUUACUUAGGUUGCUGGGUUUGGGUGGGUCGGGGAGAGGAACAUAUUUUAAAGUAACGAUCCCCGUCCCCAAAUAAAAGAAAAAUCAGCCUGUCUGUUGAACUCUCUUUUUCCUCAUGCGCAUUAAUUUUUACCCGCCCUAGACAACGCCAUCCCCAUCAAAUCGUGGUUCAGUGACCCCAGCGACACCGCCCUUCUCAACCUGCUUCCGAUGCUGGAUGCGCUCAGGUUCACCGCUGACGUCCGUUCUGUGCUGAGCCGAAACCUUCACCAACACAGGCUCUGGUGACAGCGCUCUCCCCCCACCUGAGCCAGGGUGGGGGGGACGGGGGUGAGCCCUCGCGGUGCCGUCUGCUGCCCUGUCCAGCGGUGAGGACUGUGUGGGCAGGGUCUGUCCCUCCCGUCCCUCUCUGCCCUGGGAGCCCUGCACUCCCUGUGGAGUCUGGAUGGACACGUGGGCCGGACUCUGAAGCAGCCUCACUCGAACGUCGAGUUCGUGCUCCCCGGAAACCCCAGACUGGGACAUAAGCGGAGGCCUAGGAGAGCCGAAACUGUCUGGUGGAGAGACAGGACCGGCCAGAAUGACACACAGAUGUUCGGUAAUCCGGGAGGCUCAAAGAAAAGCCAAGCGAGCUUUGUUGUGAUUUGAUUUUUUAAAAACUCUUGUACAAAACUGAUCUAAUUCUUCACUCCAAGGGCUGGGCUGUGGGUGGGAAACUGGGAUUUUUGGGCCACUGGAUUUUCCCCAAACUUGUCCCUUCCCUCCCCGCCCCCCACUUAUCCCUCUAUUUUCCCUUCUUCCUAGAUUCCCUUAGACCUGUAACCAGCUUUCUCUCUCUCUCUCUUUUUUUUUUCCUUCCUCUCUUUUAAACCAUGCAUUACAACUUUGGAAACCAAA
This is an RNA transcript of Mirounga angustirostris (Northern elephant seal), 2675 nucleotides long. It is a transcript of the gene named CTD nuclear envelope phosphatase 1, with no coding region annotated. The record is from RefSeq and is a predicted model, not a curated record. NCBI's taxonomy places the organism in Eukaryota, Metazoa, Chordata, Mammalia, Carnivora, Phocidae. The transcript is spliced from 9 exons.